RNAcentral lists this ribosomal RNA (685 nucleotides) under uncultured bacterium. RNAcentral describes it as "bacterial SSU rRNA". It matches the Rfam family "Bacterial small subunit ribosomal RNA", at positions 121 to 823 of the family's 1533-position model. The record is from RNAcentral.
AUAACCUGCCCCAUACCGGGGGAUAACAGUUAGAAAUGACUGCUAAUACCGCAUAAGCGCACGGAGCCGCAUGGCGCAGUGUGAAAAACUCCGGUGGUAUGGGAUGGAUCCGCGUCUGAUUAGCUAGUUGGCGGGGUAACGGCCCACCAAGGCAGCGAUCAGUAGCCGACCUGAGAGGGUGGCCGGCCACAUUGGGACUGAGACACGGCCCAAACUCCUACGGGAGGCAGCAGUGGGGAAUAUUGCACAAUGGGGGAAACCCUGAUGCAGCAACGCCGCGUGAGUGAAGAAGUAUUUCGGUAUGUAAAGCUCUAUCAGCAGGGAAGAAGAAGGACGGUACCUGACUAAGAAGCCCCGGCUAACUACGUGCCAGCAGCCGCGGUAAUACGUAGGGGGCGAGCGUUAUCCGGAUUUACUGGGUGUAAAGGGAGCGUAGACGGUUUUUCAAGUCUGAAGUGAAAGCCCGCGGCUCAACUGCGGAACGGCUUUGGAAACUGAGGGACUAGAGUGCUGGAGGGGCAGGCGGAAUUCCUGGUGUAGCGGUGAAAUGCGUAGAUAUCAGGAGGAACACCGGUGGCGAAGGCGGCCUGCUGGACAGUAACUGACGUUGAGGCUCGAAAGCGUGGGGAGCAAACAGGAUUAGAUACCCUGGUAGUCCACGCGGUAAACGAUGAAUGCUAGGUGU